RNAcentral lists this long non-coding RNA (400 nucleotides) under Homo sapiens (human). Its description in RNAcentral is "HSALNT0294617". Lineage: Eukaryota; Metazoa; Chordata; Mammalia; Primates; Hominidae. The record is from RNAcentral.
GCGUCAGCCCACCACACUCUGAGGACUGCAGCACAGUAGCUGCAGGCCAUUGGAGCCACUGCGGGCCAGUACAAUGAGUUUGACAUCGACUGCGGGCGCCUGAGCAGCAUUCCCACGGCUGUCUUCGAGAUCCACGGCAAGAAGUACCCCCUGCCACCCUCCGCCUAUACCAGCCAGGACCAGGGCUUCUGCACCAGUGGUUUCCAGGGUGACUAUAGUUCCCAGCAGUGGAUCCUGGGGAAUGUCUUCAUCUGGGAGUAUUACAGUGUCUUUGACAGGACCAAUAACCGUGUGGGGCUGGCGAAGGCUGUCUGAUUGCAUCACUGGCCAUGGACCUCAAUGUGACCAAACACACACACGCACAUAGAUGAGAUGUGCAGGCAGAUGGUUCCCAAUAAAC